UUCAUCUUUAACCAAACAACCCUAAACCGACAACCCCCUUUCAACGUUCACCUAACAGCCCUAACGCACCACCCAUCGCCGCCACCCUUGUCACGUCUGUCACCUCACCACCACCACGCCCAUAUCCCACAAAAUCCGCUACCUACACCCCUCUUCUCCUUUAUCACACUCCAUCUCUGAAGCUUGCAGGCUCCAUGUGCGAUUUCAGCGGAUUUCGGGGUAAGUCCCAUCCCUAUUUUCAUCAUCUCAUCAUAUCCCGGAGACUCGACGACGACGUUAGCCUCAGUUCGCUGUCACAAAGAAGGGGAGUUUAUUGGAGUUGUGGCUCAACUCUAAUUCUGCCCAGGUCAUAAGAGCGGCCAGCAGCAGAUUAUUUGCUCGUCUCUAGCAGUCCCACCGCGUCCACGUCUCGAGUCUCUGUCCUUCUUCCUUAUUCAAAAUUUCAAGCCUCCAUAUUGUUUGAUACAUGCUAUUUAUAUCAUUUGACUAACACUCUUGUGAAUUUGUAUUUCUUGUAGUUUUGUUUUGAUCGCGUAACUUGACUUAAGUAUAUUACUAAGUUUAGUCAUUAGCUUCCCUA
Lycium barbarum (goji berry) is the source of this 580-nucleotide long non-coding RNA. RefSeq lists it as uncharacterized. The record is from RefSeq and is a predicted model, not a curated record. The transcript has 2 exons. Lineage: Eukaryota; Viridiplantae; Streptophyta; Magnoliopsida; Solanales; Solanaceae.